UUAAGUUAAUAAGGGCGCACGGUGGAUGCCUUGGCACUAGGAGCCGACGAAGGACGUGACAAACGACGAUAUGCCUUGGGUAGCUGUAAGUAAGCGAUGAUCCAGGGAUUUCCGAAUGGGGGAACCCAACAGGUAAUACCUGUUACCCACAUCUGUUAAGGAUGUGAGGAGGAAGACGCAGUGAACUGAAACAUCUAAGUAGCUGCAGGAAGAGAAAGCAAAAGCGAUUGCCUUAGUAGCGGCGAGCGAAACGGCAGAAGGGCAAACCGAAGAGUUUACUCUUCGGGGUUGUAGGACUGCAAUGUGGACUCAAAGAUUAUAGAAGAAUGAUUUGGGAAGAUCAGCCAAAGAGAGUAAUAGCCUCGUAUUUAAAAUAGUCUUUGUACCUAGCAGUAUCCUGAGUACGGCGGGACACGUGAAAUCCCGUCGGAAUCUGGGAGGACCAUCUCCCAACCCUAAAUACUCCCUAGUGACCGAUAGUGAACCAGUACCGUGAGGGAAAGGUGAAAAGCACCCCGGGAGGGGAGUGAAAUAGAACCUGAAACCGUGUGCCUACAACAAGUUCAAGCCCGUUAAUGGGUGAGAGCGUGCCUUUUGUAGAAUGAACCGGCGAGUUACGUUAUGAUGCGAGGUUAAGUUGAAGAGACGGAGCCGUAGGGAAACCGAGUCUGAAUAGGGCGCCUUAGUAUCAUGACGUAGACCCGAAACCAUGUGACCUACCCAUGAGCAGGUUGAAGGUGCGGUAAGACGCACUGGAGGACCGAACCAGGGCACGUUGAAAAGUGCUUGGAUGACUUGUGGGUAGCGGAGAAAUUCCAAACGAACUUGGAGAUAGCUGGUUCUCUCCGAAAUAGCUUUAGGGCUAGCGUCGAUAUUAGAGAUUCUUGGAGGUAGAGCACUGUUUGGGUGAGGGGUCCAUCCCGGAUUACCAAUCUCAGAUAAACUCCGAAUGCCAAUGAAUUAUGGUCGGCAGUCAGACUGCGAGUGCUAAGAUCCGUAGUCGAAAGGGAAACAGCCCAGACCACCAGCUAAGGUCCCAAAAUAAUUGUUAAGUGGAAAAGGAUGUGGGGUUGCACAGACAACUAGGAUGUUAGCUUAGAAGCAGCUAUUCAUUCAAAGAGUGCGUAAUAGCUCACUAGUCGAGUGACCCUGCGCCGAAAAUGUACCGGGGCUAAAACAAUUUACCGAAGCUGUGGAUACCUUUAUAGGUAUGGUAGGAGAGCGUUCUAUGUGUGAUGAAGGUAUACCGUGAGGAGUGCUGGAACGCAUAGAAGUGAGAAUGCCGGUAUGAGUAGCGAAAGACAGGUGAGAAUCCUGUCCACCGUAAGACUAAGGUUUCCAGGGGAAGGCUCGUCCGCCCUGGGUUAGUCGGGACCUAAGGAGAGACCGAAAGGUGUAUCCGAUGGACAACAGGUUGAUAUUCCUGUACUAGAGUAUGUAGUGAUGGAGGGACGCAGUAGGCUAACUAAAGCAGACGAUUGGAAGAGUCUGUCUAAGCAGUGAGGUGUGAAUUGAGUCAAAUGCUUAAUUCUAUAACAUUGAGCUGUGAUGGGGAGCGAAGUUUAGUAGCGAAGUUAGUGACGUCACACUGCCAAGAAAAGCUUCUAGCGUUUAAACAUACUCUACCCGUACCGCAAACCGACACAGGUAGUCGAGGCGAGUAGCCUCAGGUGAGCGAGAGAACUCUCGUUAAGGAACUCGGCAAAAUGACCCCGUAACUUCGGGAGAAGGGGUGCUGACUUUAAGUCAGCCGCAGUGAAUAGGCCCAAGCAACUGUUUAUCAAAAACACAGCUCUCUGCUAAAUCGUAAGAUGAUGUAUAGGGGGUGACGCCUGCCCGGUGCUGGAAGGUUAAGAGGAGUGCUUAGCGUAAGCGAAGGUAUGAAUUGAAGCCCCAGUAAACGGCGGCCGUAACUAUAACGGUCCUAAGGUAGCGAAAUUCCUUGUCGGGUAAGUUCCGACCCGCACGAAAGGCGUAAUGAUUUGGGCACUGUCUCAACGAGAGACUCGGUGAAAUUUUAGUACCUGUGAAGAUGCAGGUUACCCGCGACAGGACGGAAAGACCCCAUGGAGCUUUACUGCAGUUUGAUAUUGAGUGUCUGUACCACAUGUACAGGAUAGGUAGGAGUCUAAGAGAUCGGGACGCCAGUUUCGAAGGAGACGCUGUUGGGAUACUACCCUUGUGUUAUGGCCACUCUAACCCAGAUAGGUGAUCCCUAUCGGAGACAGUGUCUGACGGGCAGUUUGAC
RNAcentral lists this ribosomal RNA (2248 nucleotides) under Streptococcus pneumoniae. RNAcentral describes it as "bacterial LSU rRNA". It matches the Rfam family "Bacterial large subunit ribosomal RNA", at positions 3 to 2274 of the family's 2925-position model. The record is from RNAcentral. Lineage: Bacteria; Bacillati; Bacillota; Bacilli; Lactobacillales; Streptococcaceae.